Molecule: microRNA, 21 nt
Filed under: Dasypus novemcinctus (nine-banded armadillo)
Lineage: Eukaryota; Metazoa; Chordata; Mammalia; Cingulata; Dasypodidae
Also listed under: 15 other names
Description: Dno-Mir-136-v2_3p (mature (guide))
Source: RNAcentral
AUCAUCGUCUCAAAUGAGUCU